GGAAACCUUUCCAGAUUUCUACAUGGUAUCGAGAGCUUCAAUUUUUGCGAUCAAAACUAGGGCACGGCUUCUGUAAUCAAAGGUUGGAGCGGUUUCUCGUCGAUUUUUUUCUUCUCAAGAUCGGCUACAGCACGUGGUUUUUUCUUCUUCUCGCCGAUUGAUUGCAAUCUGCGAUUGCAACUCUGGUUUGAUUUUUUUUUUCACUUUUCUGUUAUUUGCGAUUGCAAGUUAUUGAACCAUUGAUUUCCAAAUUUUUAAUCAGAUUCUUUUAGUGUUUGAAAUUUUCAAUUAGUUUUCGCGUUCGCGUUCUGCAUAAUUUUUUCUUUCUUUCUGCAAUCCAGCUGUUUGCGUCUGGAUUGAUCUAUAAUUCAGCUGUUUGCGUCUGGAUUUGUUUGCAUUUGAUUUGCGUUAGAUUAUGUGCUAGAUUUGAUUUCAAUUUUUCAGAUUAAGUGUUAGAUCGAUUUCGAUUUCUCGUUUGUGUUCAUCGAUUUCGAUUUUUUGUUUGUGUUCAUUGAUUUCGAUUUUAUUUUAUUUUUUGUUAGAACCCAAAACGGUUGCUUGUUUCAUUGAUUCCUGGCAUUUAAUCGAUUUCUUCUAUUUCUCAUCUCGUUUUCGCCUCGUUGUUUCGUUGCUUGUUCCCCUAUAGUUUUAUUUGUUUUCGUUGCUUGAUUUCGUUGGGAACUCCCUAUCAGUCUGCUAGUUUCUUUAAUCCUACUUGGUCGUCCUUUUCCAAUAGUUCGUCCUAUCCAGAAAAAUUGAUUUGUUUUAAUUUGCGUGCGUUUAAAAUCUGUUUUGUGUUUACAGAUUACGUGUUAGAUUUGUUUGAGUUUGCAAUUUGUUUUUUGUUUUUGCUGGUUAUUAAAUUUAAUACUGAAUGAAUAAUUGCAUGCUAAAUCACAUAUGAAUUCAUUUUUUUUUCUUUCUUUUUUUAAUCAGAUAGCAUGCUAAUAAAUAAAAAAAUAAAUAAUAAAUAAAAACAAAUCUCUGAUUGUGUAGUUUCUACCCAAUCGAAAUUAGAUCAUAGCUACAUUUUCUACUCAAUCGAUUGUGUAGUUUAUAGUUUGCUUAUACAUGUAAAUUGCAAUUGCCCAAGUGGUUGAUUGUUAUUUUGUUUGUGACGCAAGGAGUUGGUUUUUCUGGAUUUGCGAGUCAGCUCCUGUAAUCAUUGUUUCUGUUGAGUAGCGAUUUCCAUCUUGAGUUAUGGCAGGAAUUGGAUCAAGCACAUCUGGUGCUGGAAGUGCAGCUGUGACAGCAAGGAUCGAAAUUCUUCAAAUGAUGUACAGUAUUGCGUCACUCUGUCCCACACCUCUUUCAGAAGGGAAUUAUCUAGUAUGGAAAAAUCAAUUUGAAGGUGCAUUGCAAAUACAUAAUUUGUUAGAUUUUGUUUCUGGAAAACUUGGGACUCCGGCUCUAAGAUUAAGUGAUGGCUCUGAAAAUCCGGCAUAUGCGUCUCACAAGAGGAACGAUGGCAUAGUGCUCAGCUGGAUUAAAGCCACGGUAUGUAAGGAAAUUCAGCCUCUACUUUUACCUUGUGUUACUACAUAUGAGGCAUGGCAUAUCUUAGAAACAGAUAUUUCUCCUAUUGAUAAAAAUCAAAUUUAAGCUCUUCGUGAUGAGUUGAAUUCACUAAGGAAGACAAUAGAUAUUUCAAUGAAAGAAUAUAUUUUCAAGAUUAAGAGUUUGAAACACUCUCUAGCAGCAGCAGGAUAUUCAAUGUCUGAUGAAAGAGUGUCAGAGUAUGUUCUCAGAGGUCUUGGACCUGAAUUCCGUAUGUUUAGGAUAUCUCUGAAUUUUCAGAAGGAUAUUACUUUUACAGAACUUGCAGAUGCUCUUAUUAAAGAAGAAAUUUUGAUGAAACAACUGGAUCAACCAACAACUGAAGGGGAUUAUCAGGUGCAUUAUUCCAAUUAUAAUAAGAAUAAUUUCAAUAGAAAUGCUAAAUUUUAUCCAGGAAAAGGCAAGAAUGGUGGUUCUUAUUAUAAACCAUCAUACAAAAAUCAAGGAACAAAGGUCAUAACUGUUCCUUCUCAAAUUGCUCGGAAUAAUUUGCCUCCCAUUCUGAAUCUACCAUCUUCACAGGACAACACAUCUGCGUGUCAGAUUUGUGAGAAAAAAGGAUAUCUGGCUAGAAAUUGCCCAGAUAGAGGUAAUUUUGCUGCCUAUGCCAUGGAGGAUGAUUAUGAUACUCAGAUAACUGGAAAUGAAGAAGAAGCAGCAGCACAUUCUGUAACAGUCCAAGAUCUGGAUUGGUGUCUUGACUUAGGAGCUACUAAUCACAUGGUAGCUGAUGAAGCUUUGCUCCAUGACUGCCAGACCUAUACAGGUAUUGGGUGUGUUGUGAUUGGAUCUGGAGAUAGAUUAGUAAUUUCUAAAAUAGGAAAGUUAGACUUUGAAGUACAUUCAAAGGUUUAUACACUUAAUAGAGUUUUAUGUGUGCCGAAGAUUAAAAAAAAUCUAAUUUCUGUGACUAAACUAUGUAGUGAUUUGAACUGUUAUAUACAGAUUUCACAGAAGGAAUUUUCAGUGAAGAGCCUGAAGAUGCAUCAGACGCUUUUUUCUGGAAUUAAUAAAAGAGGGCUAUACUAUUUCAGCCCGGACAUCAACUGUAAUUUGGGUAUCAAGGUCUCUUCAGAUACAUGGCACAAGAGACUAGGACAUCCUUCUCUCAAAAUUAUGAAUAAAAUAGGACAUGUAUUAGGAUUAAACAAUUCAGAUUUAAAAUCUUUAGAAUUUUGUAAUAACUGCCCUAUGACAAAAAUGUCGAAAUUACCUUUUUCUUGUAAUGAAAUAAAAACUUCUUUUCCAUUGGAGAUAAUACAUAUAGAUCUAUGGGGUCCAGCCCCAAUUGUUUCAAUAAAAAAUUAUAAUUUUUUUGCAACAAUUGUAGAUAAUAAAACAAGGUAUACAUGGAUUAUACCAUUAAGGGCUAAAAAUGAAUUUACUGAUCAGUUUAUUCUAUUUCAGAAAAAUAUAGAAAACCAGUUAGGGCUAAAAAUUAAGAAAAUUUAUGCAGAUGAGGGUGGUGAAUUUCUUAGUACCAAGCUGAAAACUUGGCCAGGACAAAAAGGAAUAACACAUAGAUUCUCAUGUCCCUAUACACCUCAACAAAAUGGGAUUGUUGAGAGGAAACAUAGACACCUGCUUGAGACCAGCAGAUGUUUUUUUACUCAAUCCGGAAUUCCAAAAAAUAUGUGGCCAGAGGUCAUCUCUGCAGCAUGUUUUCUGAUAAAUAGGUUACCUAGUUCUGUUUUAGGGUUCAUAUCUCCCUUUGAGAUGUUAACCAAAAAUAAACCAGAUUAUAAAAUACUGAAAUUAUUUGGUUGUUCAUGUUAUCCCUUAAUAAAUAAAGGAUUAAGGAAUAAAUUUGAACCUACUGCCUAUAAAUGUGUCUUUAUAGGGUAUUCAAACAAACACAAAGGAUAUAUGUGUUUAAAGUUAGAAGAUAAUAAAGUCAUUAUAUCUCGAAAUGUCAAAUUUAAUGAAAAUGAGUAUCCUUUUUUAACUAAAACAGAUACUAAAACAGUAAAGAAGCCUGAAAAGCAAAUGAUAAUACUUCCAAGACUAGCUACUACAAUAAAUUUUGGCUUUCCUAUAAAUACAGGAAACUCAAACAGUGAGUUAAGGGUAGAACCAAAUUUGUCAAGUCAUGUAAGGAGAGUCACUCACAACAGAAUAACUCUACAAAUGACUCAAUGGAUAUAAUCUCAGAGUCAACUGAGAUAAGUAGCUCAGUACCCCAGACCAUGAGAGUUGAGUCUGAUAUGCAAUCUAACACUAGAAGUGAGACAAGACAACAAAGAGAUAUUUCUGAGAAUCAAACAAACACAGUUUGUAACUCAAUAUCACGAGAUAUAAGUAGUAGAUCUGAAGAACCAAUCAACAUAGGAGUUAGAUAUCCGACUAGAGAUAGAAAAGCACCAAAGUUUUUAGAAAACUAUGAGUGUAAUUCUUGCUCUGGCGAAGAGAUAGAACCAUCCACCUUCAGUGAGGCAAGUAAAGAACCUAAGUGGAAGGAGGCAAUGCAAGAGGAACUAGAUGCAUUGAAAGUUAACAAAACAUGGACUUUAGUACCAAAAAAUUCGUCAAUGAAUAUAGUAGGUUGUAAGUGGGUCUAUAAAAUUAAAAAGAACUCAGAUGAUUCAAUAGAANNNNNNNNNNNNNNNNNNNNNNNNNNNNNNNNNNNNNNNNNNNNNNNNNNNNNNNNNNNNNNNNNNNNNNNNNNNNNNNNNNNNNNNNNNNNNNNNNNNNUACAGUCCAGUAAUUAGGAUGAACACAGUAAGAUCAAUCAUUUCAAUUGCUGUGACAUAUAACUGGCAGCUAAGACAACUGGAUAUCAAAAAUGCCUUCCUAAAUGGCUUUCUAAACGAAACAGUAUACAUGAGACAACCAACUGGGUUUCAUAAUAAGAGUUAUCCAGAUCAUGUGUGUCUAUUACAUAAGGCUCUAUAUGGCUUAAAACAAGCACCCAGAGCUUGGUACUCAAGACUUCAAAAUUUUCUAGUUGAAAACGAAUUCAAAAAUAGUCUUACAGAUUCUUCAUUGUUCCUCAAAGUGAACAAUGGACAUAGAAUCUACAUACUAGUCUAUGUAGAUGAUAUUAUAAUUACUGGGGAUUCUAGUGAGGAAGUAAAUAGGUGCAUAGAAUUAAUAUGUAAACAAUUUUCAUGUAGAGACCUAGGGCUUCUUAACUAUUUUUUAGGAAUGGAAUGUAUAAGACAAGGGAAAACCAUAAUUCUAAGUCAAGAAAAAUAUGUGUCUGAUAUAUUGAAAAAAUUCAAUAUGAUGGAAUGCACACCAUGUAGGAUACCAAUGGUUCAAAAUCCAAGACUAAAUAAAAAUUCAGGGACUCCUAUAGAAAACAAUACAAUAUACAGAAACAUUGUAGGGUCCUUACAAUAUCUAACUAUGACUAGACCUGAUAUUGUCUUUUGUGUGAAUCAUCUUAGUCAGUUUCUACAAACACCAACUGAUGUACAUCUUAGUUUUGCUAAGAGGAUGCUAAGAUAUAUCAAGGGAUCUUCUAACCUAGGACUGAGAUUUACACCUUCAGUCAAACCAGUAAAUUCUUUGAUAGCCUACUGUGAUUCAGACUGGGCAAAUGAUACUGAUGAUAGGAGAUCAGUUUCUGGAUUCAGCAUCUGGUUUGCUGGAAAUUUGGUAGCCUGGGCAUCAAAGAAACAAGCAGUGGUAUCAAAAUCGAGUUGUGAGGCUGAAUACAGGGCACUAUCUGGGAUAACUUCAGAAGUUAAGUGGUUCUGUAAUUUGUUUAGGGAACUGGAGAUUAGGUUUGAGACAGCUCCACAAAUAUUAUGUGAUAAUAAAUCAGCAAUUUUUCUCACUAAAAAUCCAUCAUCAAACCUGAAAACUAGACAUAUAGAUAUCUCACACCAUUUUAUUAGAGAGCUGGUGAUGAAAGGGGCAAUAAAAGUGGAUUAUAUUGCUGCUAGUCAACAACUAGCAGAUGGUUUCACUAAAGUACUGGGAACAGGGCAAUUUAUGGUUCAUAGGGAUAGACAUAAACUAGUACCAACCAGUCCUGAUCCUAGAAUCAUAAUGAAGGACAAGAAUAGGCUAACAAAAUCGCAAGACAUAAGUAAACCAAAGCUAAUUAAGGAGGCUUAGGAGAAUGACUAUAUAAGGGAGACUAUAAUACUGGAUAUUAGUUUAGAUAUAUAAUAAUAAUAAUAAUAAUGAAAAUACUGAGGUGUUGUAUUUCUGAUUUCUGUUCUUAUAGUAAUACUUGUAUUCAUAUUAGGAAAUGUUAGAUAAAUAUGAUGUUGAAAAUUGCAGGGUGAUAAUCUGAAAUAUAUUCUAAAACUAUUUCUAGUUUUGGUUUGAUACAUAAUUUUGUCUGUUUGUUAAGGAAUGGUCUAUAUUUUUCUGUUUUUGGUUUGUGGGAAUGGCUACUGUGGAUGUAUGUUUGUGUGGUUGCAGGUCAUGCUAAGAUAGGUCAUGCCCAAAUAACUGGAAAUUUAAUCUGGAGCAGAAAAUGUGGAAUCUAGAGCAGCAGGAGCUUUGAGAAUGAGCAGCGAUUUUUUUUGUUUUGUUCUUUCUUUCAGGGUCUUAAUUGGUAUAACAGGAGGGUUUUCCCAGUAAAAAUGAAAGAAAGAGGAGCAAAAAUAAGAAUCCCAGCUGGGUUUUUCGCCCUACCUGUUAGCUCAAUUAAUUCAUAGCUGAGUUAGUUCACAAGACUACUAAGGAGGUGGACAGACAAGCUGAUGAUCAUACUCAUGUUCAAAUUCACAACUCAGGAUUGCAUUCUGGAGUUGUCAAUUUGCGGGGGAAUGUAAAGAGUUAAAAAUACUAUAAGGGGUUUUGUAUAAAUGUACCCAUAAUAUUAAGUAUAAGUAUAGGCUUUGUGUAAUGAUUAGUUAAGUUGAAUGUUAUAAUUCUUGAGUGUCAAUUAAAGAGUUUACUCUUUCUUCUUCUUGUUUUGACCUAACGACUUCAUUCUCCCCCUUUCUUCUAUCUUCUUCUUCUAUCAAUUUCUUGUUGAUGAUUCAGUGAAUGGAAACCUCUCCAGAUUUCUACAUGGUAUCUAGAGCUUUGUGAUUCGAUUGGGGCAUCUGGGCGUUAGGGCACGGCGAGCGCGGAAUCUUCUCAGCGUGAUUUCUUCUCGGCGUGAAUUGGAGCGGUUCCUGUUCUGUUCUUUUCUUUUCUUCCCGGCUACAGCGCGUGGUCUUUCUCUUCUCUUCUCGGCUGGCGUGGUCUUUCUUCUCGGCUGGCGUGGUCUUUCUUCUCGGCUGGCGUGGUCUUUCUCUUCUCUUCUCGGCGGCGUGAAUUUCUGGGUCUUUUCUUCUCGGCUGGCGUGGUCUUUCUUCGGCUACAGCGUGGUUCUUCUCGCCGAUUGAUUGCAAUCUGCGAUUGCAACUCUGGUUUGAAUUUUUUAUUUUUUAUUUAUUUCAUUUUUCUGUUAUCUGCAAUUGCAAGUUAUUGAACCAUUGAUUUCCAAAUUUUUUAAUUAGAUUCUGUUUGUGUUUGGAUUGAUCUGUAAGUCUGAAUUUGUUUGUGUUUGAUUUGCGUUAGAUUACGUGUUACAUUUGAUUUCAAUUUUUCAGAUUUUGUGUUCAUUGAUUUCAAUUUUUUUUUUAGAACCCAAAACGGUUGCUUGUGUCAUUGAUCCCUGGCAUUUUAUCGAUUUCUUCUAUUUCUCAUCUCGUUUUCGCCUCGUUGUUUCGUUGCUUGUUCCCCUAUAGUUUUAUUUGAUUUCGUUGGAAACUCCCUAUCAGUCUGCUAGUUUCUUUAAUCCUACUCGGUCGUUCUUUUCCAAUAGUUCAUUUGAGUGCGAUUAAAAUCUGUUUUGGGUUUACAGAUUACCUGUUAGUUUUGUUUGAGUUUACAAUAUUUUUUUUUUUUUAAUUUUCUCAUUUGAUUUAAUCUGUUUACAGAUUUGUUUUGCAUUUGAUUUCUGCGUUUUUAUCUGUUAGUAUUUUACUGAUAUUUUUUUUGCUGACAUCGAUUUGGUAUUUUCUUCUUCUUUAUUUGCCUGUUAGUAUUUGGUAUUUGGUAUUUUACUGUUAGUAUUCUUCUUCUUCUUAAAUUUUAGUUUUUUUUUUUUUUAUUUUUUUUUUUCUUUCUUUAAAUUUUGUCAUAGAUCUGUCGAUCUGUCAUCGAUCUGACAUUUUCUGUUUUUGGUUUAUGUUUUUUGUUGUUGUUGUUUGGUAAUUGAUUUCAUUGAUUUCAUCAAAUUUGUUGUUGUUUUUAGUUGUUUGUUUUUGCUGGUUAUUAAAUUUAAUUCUGAAUAAUUGCAUGCACAUAACUACAUUUUGUUUGCUUGUGUUGCAUACUAAUUAUAAAUUGUUUUUUUUUUGUUUUGUUGUUUUUGUUGUUUGGUAAUUGAUUUCAUUGAUUUCAUCAAAUUUGUUGUUGUUUUUAGUUGUUUGUUUUUGCUGGUUAUUAAAUUUAAUACUGAAUAAUUGCAUGCUAAAUCACAUAUGAAUUUAUCAGAUUGCAUGCUAAUAAAAAUAAUAAUAAUAAAUAAAUAAAAACAAAUAUCUGAUUGUGUAGUUUCUACCCACUUGAAAGUAGAUCAUAACUACAUUUUCUACUCAAUCGAUCGAUUGUGUAGUUUAUAGUUUGCUUGUAGUUGUAAAUUACAAUUGCCCAAGUGGUUAAUUGUUAUUUUGUUUGUGACGCAAGGAGCUGGUUUUUUUUUCUGGAUCUGCGAAUCAGCUUCUGUAAUCAUUGUUUUCUGUUGAGUGGCGAUUUCCAUCUUGAGCUAUGGCAGGAAUUGGAUCAAGUACAUCUGGUGCUGGAAGUGCAGCUGUGACAGCAAGGAUCGAAGUUCCUCAAAUGAUGUAUAGUAUUGCGUCACUCUGUCCCACACCUCUUUCAGAAGGGAAUUAUCUAGUAUGGAAAAAUCAAUUUGAAGGUGCAUUACAAAUACAUAAUUUGUUAGAUUUUAUUUCUGGAAAACUUGGGACUCCGGCUCUAAGAUUAAGUGAUGGCUCUGAAAAUCCGGCAUAUGCGUCUCACAAGAGGAACGAUGGCAUAGUGCUCAGUUGGAUUAAAGCCACGGUAUGUAAGGAAAUUCAGCCUCUACUUUUACCUUGUGUUACUGCAUAUGAGGCAUGGCAUAUUUUAGAAACAGAUAUUUCGCCUAUUGAUAAAAAUCAAAUUCAAACUCUUCGUGAUGAGUUGAAUUCACUAAGGAAGACAACAGAUAUUUCAAUGAAAGAAUAUAUUUUCAAGAUUAAGAGUUUGAAACACUCUCUAGCAGCAGCAGGAUAUUCAAUGUCUGAUGAAAGAGUGUCAGAGUAUGUUCUCAGAGGUCUUGGACCUGAAUUCCGUAUGUUUAGGACAUCUCUGAAUUUUCAGAAGGAUAUUACUUUUACAGAACUUGCAGAUGCUCUUAUUAAAGAAGAAAUUUUGAUGAAACAACUGGAUCAACCAACAACUGAAGGGGAUUAUCAGGUGCAUUAUUCCAAUUAUAAUAGGAAUAAUUUCAAUAGAAAUGCUAAAUUUUAUCCAGGGAAAGGCAAGAAUGGUGGUUCUUAUUAUAAACCAUCAUACAAAAAUCAAGGAACAAAGGUCAUAACUGUUCCUCCUCAAAUUGCUCGGAAUAAUUUGCCUCCCAUUCUGAAUCUACCAUCUUCACAGGACAACACAUCUACGUGUCAGAUUUGUGAGAAAAAAGGACAUCUGGCUAGAAAUUGCCCAGAUAGAGGUAAUUUUGCUGCCUAUGCCAUGGAGGAUGAUUAUGAUACUCAGAUAACUGGAAAUGAAGAAGAAGCAGCAGCAUAUUCUGUAACAGUCCAAGAUCUGGAUUGGUGUCUUGACUCAGGAGCUACUAAUCACAUGGUAGCUGAUGAAGCCUUGCUCCAUGACUGCCAGACCUAUACAGGUAUUGGGUGUGUUGUGAUUGGAUCUGGAGAUAGAUUAGUAAUUUCUAAAAUAGGAAAGUUAGACUUUGAAGUGCAUUCAAAGGUUUAUACACUUAAUAGAGUUUUAUGUGUGCCUAAGAUUAAGAAAAAUCUAAUUUCUGUGACUAAACUAUGUAGUGAUUUGAACUGUUAUAUACAGAUUUCACAGAAGGAAUUUUCAGUGAAGAGCCUGAAGAUGCAUCAGACGCUUUUUUCUGGAAUUAAUAAAAGAGGGCUAUACUAUUUCAGCCCGGACAUCAACUGUAAUUUGGGUAUCAAGAUCUCUUCAGAUACAUGGCACAAGAGACUAGGACAUCCUUCUCUCAAAAUCAUGAAUAAAAUAGGACAUGUAUUAGGAUUAAACAAUUCAGAUUUAAAAUCUUUAGAAUUUUGUAAUAACUGUCCUAUGGCAAAAAUGUCGAAAUUACCUUUUUCUUGUAAUGAAAUAAAAACUUCUUUUCCAUUGGAAAUAAUACAUAUAGAUCUAUGGGGUCCAGCCCCAAUUGUUUCAAUGAAAAAUUAUAAAUUUUUUGCAACAAUUGUAGAUAAUAAAACAAGGUAUACAUGGAUUAUACUAUUAAGGGCUAAAAGUGAUUUUACUGAUCAGUUUAUUCUAUUUCAGAAAAAUAUAGAAAACCAGUUAGGGCGAAAAAUUAAGAAAAUUUAUUCAGAUGAGGGUGGUGAAUUUCUUAGUACCAAGCUGAAAACUUGGCUAGGACAAAAAGGAAUAACACAUAGAUUCUCAUGUCCCUAUACACCUCAACAAAAUGGGAUCGUUGAGAGGAAACAUAGACACCUGCUUGAGACCAGCAGAUGUUUUUUUACUCAAUCAGGAAUUCCAAAAAAAUAUGUGGCCAGAGGUCAUCUCUGCAGCAUGUUUUCUGAUAAAUAGGUUACCUAGUUCUGUUUUAGGGUUCAUAUCUCCCUUUGAGAUGUUAACCAAAAAUAAACCAGAUUAUAAAAUACUGAAAUUAUUUGGUUGUUCAUGUUAUCCCUUAAUAAGUAAAGGAUUAAGGAAUAAAUUUGAACCUACUGCCUAUAAAUGUGUCUUUAUAGGGUAUUCAAACAAACACAAAGGAUAUAUGUGUUUAAAGUUAGAAGAUAAUAAAGUCAUUAUAUCUCGAAAUGUCAAAUUUAAUGAAAAUGAGUAUCCUUUUUUAACUAAAACAGAUACUAAAACAGUAAAGAAGCCUGAAAAGCAAAUGAUAAUACUUCCAAGACUAGCUACUACAAUAAAUUUUGGCUUUCCUAUAAAUACAGGAAACUCAAACAGUGAGUUAAGGGUAGAACCAGAGUCAAGUCCUGUAAGGAGAGUUACUCACUCACAACAGAACAACUCUAAAAAUGACUCAAUGGAUAUAAUCUCAGAGUCAACUGAGAUAAGUAGCUUAGUACCCCAGACCAUGCGAGUUGAGUCAGAUAUGCAAUCUAACACUAGAAGUGAGACAAGACAACAAAGAGAUAUUUCUGAGAAUCAAACAAACACAGUUUGUAACUCAAUAUCACGAGAUAUAAGUAGUAGAUCUGAAGAACCAAUCAACAUAGGAGUUAGAUAUCCGACUAGAGAUAGAAAAGCACCAAAGUUUUUAGAAAAUUAUGAGUGUAAUUCAUGCUCUGGCGAAGAGAUAGAACCAUCCACCUUCAGUGAGGCAAGUAAAGAACCUAAGUGGAAGGAGGCAAUGCAAGAGGAACUGGAUGCAUUGAAAAUUAACAAAACAUGGACUUUAGUACCAAAAAAUUCGUCAAUGAAUAUAGUAGGUUGUAAGUGGGUCUAUAAAAUUAAAAAGAACUCAGAUGGUUCAAUAGAAAGGUACAAAGCUAGAUUAGUAGCUAAGGGCUACAAUCAGGAGGAAGGAGUGGACUAUACAGAGACUUACAGUCCAGUAAUUAGGAUGAACACAGUAAGAUCAAUCAUUUCAAUUGCUGUGACAUAUAACUGACAGCUAAGACAACUGGAUAUCAAAAAUGCCUUCCUAAAUGGCUUUCUAAACGAAACAGUAUACAUGAGACAACCAACUGGGUUUCAUAAUAAGAGUUAUCCAGAUCAUGUGUGUCUAUUACAUAAGGCUCUAUAUGGCUUAAAACAAGCACCCAGAGCUUGGUACUCAAGACUUCAAAAUUUUCUAGUUGAAAACGAAUUCAAAAAUAGUCUUACAGAUUCCUCAUUGUUCCUCAAAGUGAACAAUGGACAUAGAAUCUACAUACUAGUCUAUGUAGAUGAUAUUAUAAUUACUGGGGAUUCUAGUGAGGAAGUAAAUAGGUGCAUAGAAUUAAUAUGUAAACAAUUUUCAUGUAGAGACAUAGGGCUUCUUAACUAUUUUUUAGGAAUGGAAUGUAUAAGACAAGGGAAAACCAUAAUUCUAAGUCAAGAAAAAUAUGUGUAUGAUAUAUUGAAAAAAUUCAAUAUGAUGGAAUGCACACCAUGUAGGACACCAAUGGUUCAAAAUCCAAGACUAAAUAAAAAUUCAGGGACUCCUAUAGAAAACAAUACAAUAUACAGAAACAUUGUAGGGUCCUUACAAUAUCUAACUAUGACUAGACCUGAUAUUGUCUUCUGUGUGAAUCAUCUUAGUCAGUUUCUACAAACACCAACUGAUGUACAUCUUAGUUUUGCUAAGAGGAUGCUAAGAUAUAUUAAGGGAUCUUCUAACCUAGGACUGAGAUUUACACCUUCAGUCAAACCAGUAAAUUCUUUGAUAGCCUACUGUGAUUCAGACUGGGCAAGUGAUACUGAUGAUAGGAGAUCAGUGUCUGGAUUCAGCAUCUGGUUUGCUGGAAAUUUGGUAGCCUGGGCAUCAAAGAAACAGGCAGUGGUAUCAAAAUCGAGUUGUGAGGCUGAAUACAGGGCACUAUCUGGGAUAACUUCAGAAGUUAAGUGGUUCUGUAAUUUGUUUAGGGAACUGGAGAUUAGGUUUGAGACAGCUCCACAAAUAUUAUGUGAUAAUAAAUCAGCAAUUUUUCUCACUAAAAAUCCAUCAUCAAACCUGAAAACUAGACAUAUAGAUAUCUCACACCAUUUUAUUAGAGAGCUGGUGAUGAAAGGGGCAAUAAAAGUGGAUUAUAUUGCUGCUAGUCAACAACUAGCAGAUGGUUUCACUAAAGUACUGGGAACAGGGCAAUUUAUGGUUCAUAGGGAUAGACAUAAACUAGUACCAACCAGUCCUGAUCCUAGAAUCAUAAUGAAGGACAAGAAUAGGCUAACAAAAUCGCAAGACAUAAGUAAACCAAAGCUAAUUAAGGAGGCUUAGGAGAAUGAUUAUAUAAGGGAGACUAUAAUACUGGGUAUUAGUUUAUAUAUAUAAUAAUAAUAAUAAUAAUAAUAAUGAAAAUACUGAGGUGUUGUAUUUCUGAUUUCUGUUCUUAUAGUAAUACUUGUAUUCAUAUUAGGAAAUGUUAGAUAAAUAUGAUGUUGAAAAUUGCAGGGUGAUAAUCUGAAAUAUAUUCUAAAAUUAUUUCUAGUUUGGUUUGAUACAUAAUUUUGUUUGUUUGUUAAGGAAUGGUCUAUAUUUUUCUGGUUUGGUUUGUGGGAAUGGCUACUGUGGAUGUAUGUUUGUGUGGUUGCAGGUCAUACUAAGAUAGGUCAUGCCCAAAUAGCUGGAAAUUUAAUCUGGAGCAGAAAAUGUGAAAUCUAGAGCAGCAGGAGCUUUGAGAAUGAGCAGCGAGUUUUUUUGUUUGUUCUUUCUUUCAGGGUCUUAAUUGGCAUAACAGGAGGGUUUUCCCAGUAAAAAUGAAAGAAAGAGGAGCAAAAAUAAGAAUCCCAGCUGGGUUUUUCGCCCCCCCUGUUAGUUCAAUUAAUUCAUAGCUGAGUUAGUUCACAAGGCUGCUAAGGAGGUGGACAGACAAGCUGAUGAUCAUACUCAUGUUCAAAUUCACAACUCAGGAUUGCAUUCUGGAGUUGUCAAUUUGCGGGGGAAUGUAAAGAGUUAAAAUACUAUAAAGGGUAUUUUAUAAAUGUACCCAUAAUAUCAAGUAUAAGUAUAGGCUUAAUGUGUAAUGAUUGAAUAAGUUGAAUGUUAUAAUUUUGAGUGUCAAUUAAAGAGUUUUUGCUCUACUCUUUUUCUUCUUGUUUGACCUAACAACUUCCAUUCACCCCCUUUCUUCUAUCUUCUUCUUCUAUCAUUUUCUUGUUAAUGAAUCAUUGAGGAAACCUCUCCAGAUUUCUACAUUAC
This 13531-nucleotide long non-coding RNA is filed under the name Zostera marina. RNAcentral describes it as "long non-coding RNA (ZMAR_LNC004673)". The record is from RNAcentral. Lineage: Eukaryota; Viridiplantae; Streptophyta; Magnoliopsida; Alismatales; Zosteraceae.